UCUGUGCAGAGCCGGUGGGGGGAGAGCAGCAUCUGCGAGUCUAGGGGAAUAGAUGCCCUAACCGCCGGAAUAUUCAGAGGUCUGCCUGGACAGUCCUGAGACUAAGCAUCUGGUCACCUUGCACUUGGCUCUGUAUCGGGCCAGAAGAAACAAACUUAGAAAACAAGAUAACUGAGAGGAAUCUAUUUUUGAGAAAAGGAGCUUUUGUGUCUGAUUUUAGGCACGGUUUCUCUGUGUAAUAACCUUGGCUGUCCCUGAACCUGUUCUAUAGAGCUCGAAAUGACAGAAAUCUGCCUCCCAAGUGCUGGGAUUAAAGAGAACUCUGCCAUCAAGAAGGCUAUCUUCUCAACCGGAUGCUCUUGGCCGGAAUAUGAGACAAAAGAGAUAUAUCACCCUCCCCCAUACUUCCCCUCCCCCUGGCCGAGAGUUUGCUUUGUGGACCAGGCUGGUCUCAAACCUGCGGCAGUUCUUGUGCCUCCUGCUCCCGAGUGCUGGAAUUAGGCACAGGUGUGGAGGCCAGAGAUCGACCUCAGGUGUGGUUCCUCCGGCGCCAUAGGAGCUCGCUUUUUGAGACGGGAUCCCCUGCUGAUCGGAAACUUGCACAGUGCGUGUUUAUAUGAGUCUGCACUCUUGUGGGUACCCAUGUGAGCAUAUGCACUUAAAGGCCAGAGGUCAACUUCAGCAUCAUUCUUCAGGAGCUGGGCAGGGCUGGCUGCCCAGGGAGCCCGGGGAGCCACCUGUCUCCUACUCUCCAGUGGUGAGACCCCAAGUCCUGACAUUUGUAUAUGGGUGCUGGGCGUGGAACCCCAUCCUCACACUUGUUUUAGCGUGCACGUCACCCAUCAAGCCGUCUCCCUAACCUGAAACAUACCUUUUUAAUAAAUAAUUUGUAUAUUUACUAAUGUACAAGUAAAAAUACUCACCCAGUUAGUAAAAUAGUUACUUGUAAGUGUGCCUACUAUGUGUGUAAAAUUUACCAAGGAAAGUAUUAAAAGCACUGUC
Long non-coding RNA from Microtus oregoni (creeping vole), 1002 nucleotides. RefSeq lists it as uncharacterized. Lineage: Eukaryota; Metazoa; Chordata; Mammalia; Rodentia; Cricetidae. The record is from RefSeq and is a predicted model, not a curated record. The transcript has 6 exons.